Molecule: ribosomal RNA, 253 nt
Filed under: uncultured bacterium
Lineage: Bacteria
Description: partial 16S ribosomal RNA
Rfam family: Bacterial small subunit ribosomal RNA
Source: RNAcentral
GACAGAGGUGCCGAGCGUUAGGCGGAAUCACUGGGCUUAAAGCGUGUGUAGGCGGAUCCGUAAGUACCUUGUGAAAUCCCACGGCUUAACCGUGGAACUGCUGGGUAUACUGCGGGUCUUGAGCCACCUAGGGGCAACCGGAACAAACGGUGGAGCGGUGAAAUGCGUAGAUAUCGUGUGGAACGCCAAUGGUGAAAACAGGUUGCUGGGGGUGUGCUGACGCUGAGACACGAAAGCCAGGGGAGCGAACGGG